Molecule: ribosomal RNA, 727 nt
Filed under: uncultured Comamonadaceae bacterium
Lineage: Bacteria; Pseudomonadati; Pseudomonadota; Betaproteobacteria; Burkholderiales; Comamonadaceae
Description: bacterial SSU rRNA
Rfam family: Bacterial small subunit ribosomal RNA
Source: RNAcentral
AUUGAACGCUGGCGGCAUGCCUUACACAUGCAAGUCGAACGGCAGCACGGGAGCAAUCCUGGUGGCGAGUGGCGAACGGGUGAGUAAUACAUCGGAACGUGCCCAAUCGUGGGGGAUAACGCAGCGAAAGCUGUGCUAAUACCGCAUACGAUCUACGGAUGAAAGCAGGGGAUCGCAAGACCUUGCGCGAAUGGAGCGGCCGAUGGCAGAUUAGGUAGUUGGUGAGGUAAAGGCUCACCAAGCCGUCGAUCUGUAGCUGGUCUGAGAGGACGACCAGCCACACUGGGACUGAGACACGGCCCAGACUCCUACGGGAGGCAGCAGUGGGGAAUUUUGGACAAUGGGCGAAAGCCUGAUCCAGCCAUGCCGCGUGCAGGAUGAAGGCCUUCGGGUUGUAAACUGCUUUUGUACGGAACGAAACGGCCUUUUCUAAUAAAGAGGGCUAAUGACGGCACCGUAAGAAUAAGCACCGGCUAACUACGUGCCAGCAGCCGCGGUAAUACGUAGGGUGCAAGCGUUAAUCGGAAUUACUGGGCGUAAAGCGUGCGCAGGCGGUUAUGUAAGACAGUUGUGAAAUCCCCCGGGCUCAACCUGGGAACUGCAUCUGUGACUGCAUAGCUAGAGUAUCGUAGAGGGUGAUGGAAUUCGUCCUCUACAUUGAGAUGCUUCAUUUGUUGAUGAACCCCGUUGCCCCAUGCCACCCCCUGUGCUCUUUUGAGCCUUUUGU